UGGACGAUGACAACAUCACAGAUUUGGGAGCUUUCGAGAGAAAAGUUUUGCGUAAAAUUUACAAUCCUCUACGAGUUUGUGAAGGCGAAUACCGCAGCCGAUGAAAUGAUGAGCUGUAUACGGUAGAUAUACGGCGACACUGACAUGUGAAGUUCAGCAAACCAAGAAACAGCGGCUACUCGGUAGGUCACGUGGUCCGGAUGGAUAAGAAUACUCCAACACUGAAAGUUUUCGAUGCAACAACCGCCGAUGGAAGCAAAGGAAGAGGAAGACCUAUGCUCUAUUGGGAAGACCAGGUAAAGAGGGACCUGGCUCUACUUGGUAUCUCCAAGCAGCGACGUUAUAAAUUCGGCUAAAAUUGCGUAAGCGGUAUCUACGCCACUAAAGUAAGUAAGUAAGAAGGCGAAUCCAUAUGCAAGAACGUAUGGAGAAAGACAUUCAAUGCAUGGACGGAAGAUUUGAAAGGCAAACACCAUCAUAAGGGCAGGUAAUUUCUCCGCAUCUACUCCCAAUAUAUUCUUCAAGGCCUGCAAUAUAUCAAGCAGGACCAAUGGUGUGUAACAUUCUACUGAUACUGCUGACGCUACGCCGAUUCGCCAAACUCCUCAAAGUGUUUCAUCUGCUCAAAGUGAAGUUUUGAGCCAAAUAAUAAAAGAAAUGAGCAAAGGUGGCGGAUAAUCGGCAAGUCCACGGAGCUCUCCAUUCAGUAGCGGUUCUGCGUGGACUAUCAAACACUAAAGAACGUGCUAAAGAAACACAGCUGUCCGUCAUUGACAAGUGGAAGUGAGCGAAGGAAAAUAUUGAGGCAGUAAAGAAUUGGCCUAGGCCCGACCGUUCGUUAGACUUUACUUAAGCUGACAAGCGUCCCAUUUAAUUAAAACAGGAAAUGUCAACUCUUGGACUGUUAACGAGGUUGAAAAGAAUAAUAAUAAAUAUAACGAUUAUGUUAAAUGAAGGCAAAAGGAUCUGAUAGAGUCACAUUGUCAGAAUGAUAGGCGAGAUGCUGUAACGGUUUCUGGCUUGCGGAAGCCAAUAAACGAUAUGAUGUUUUCGUCGCAGCAGAGAGAUGUGUCUAGUGCGGUGGAGUAAGUUCAAGAAUUAGAAGCGAUUGACGGUCAAUAUUCUUUUGUAAACUCCUCCAGUGGGAUGGAUGCAGCUUAUUUUGGAAAGAAUCGUGGAAGGACAAUGAUAAAGCAAUUGGAGAGCCGAGCCGGAUUCUCAAAGAAUUCGAAUGGUCUCGAGAAUUUUUAGUCAAAGGCUGGCGGCCAAUAAUAAUCCACAAAACCAAGUUAGAACAGUAAAAGAACCAGACGAAAACGUUGAAAGACAUUUUCGAAAAUUCAGAGGGUUAAUCACCCAACCCAAGGCCCAACUAACGAAGUGUGUCCUGAAGGUGAGAAGACAAUCCAUACACCAAAUUACGGAAGUGGAAAUUCCGUUAUAUUUUUAGACUCGCGCCAGAAAAAAAAUUAAAUCUUGUUCCUGAUAAUUAUUACUUUUUUGUCCUUAAAUAUUUGUUUUAAUUUAUUUAAGAAAAAAUACUUCCAUCUAGCAAUUCAACUGCAAAUCUACCAAAUUUAAAUAUUUCGUUAUUAU
This is a long non-coding RNA of Ceratitis capitata (Mediterranean fruit fly), 1596 nucleotides long. RefSeq lists it as uncharacterized. Lineage: Eukaryota; Metazoa; Arthropoda; Insecta; Diptera; Tephritidae. The transcript is spliced from 3 exons. The record is from RefSeq and is a predicted model, not a curated record.